UGGGGAAUUUUGGACAAUGGGCGAAAGCCUGAUCCAGCAAUGCCGCGUGUGUGAAGAAGGCCUUCGGGUUGUAAAGCACUUUUGUCCGGAAAGAAAUCCUUGGCUCUAAUAACAGUCGGGGGAUGACGGUACCGGAAGAAUAAGCACCGGCUAACUACGUGCCAGCAGCCGCGGUAAUACGUAGGGUGCAAGCGUUAAUCGGAAUUACUGGGCGUAAAGCGUGCGCAGGCGGUUUGCUAAGACCGAUGUGAAAUCCCCGGGCUCAACCUUGGGAACUGCCAUUGGUGACUGGCAGGCUAGAGUAUGGCAGAGGGGGGUAGAAUUCCGACGUGUAGCAGUGAAAUGCGUAGAGAUGUGGAGGAAUACCGAUGGCGAAGGCAGCCCCCUGGG
Molecule: ribosomal RNA, 390 nt
Filed under: uncultured bacterium
Lineage: Bacteria
Description: partial 16S ribosomal RNA
Rfam family: Bacterial small subunit ribosomal RNA
Source: RNAcentral